CACGUAGGGCGCGAGCGUUGUCCGGAAUUAUUGGGCGUAAAGAGCUCGUAGGCGGCCUGUUGCGUCCGCUGUGAAAGCCCGGGGCUUAACCCCGGGUCUGCAGUGGAUACGGGCAGGCUAGAGGUAGGUAGGGGAGAAUGGAAUUCCCGGUGUAGCGGUGAAAUGCGCAGAUAUCGGGAGGAACACCGGUGGCGAAGGCGGCCUUCUGGACAGUGACUGACGCUGAGACGCGAAAGCGUGGGGAGCAAACAGG
Molecule: ribosomal RNA, 253 nt
Filed under: uncultured bacterium
Lineage: Bacteria
Description: partial 16S ribosomal RNA
Rfam family: Bacterial small subunit ribosomal RNA
Source: RNAcentral